GACGAACGCUGGCGGCGUGCUUAACACACGCAAGUCGAACGGUGAAGCCCAGCUUGCUGGGUGGAUCAGUGGCGAACGGGUGAGUAACACGUGAGUAACCUGCCCCUGACUCUGGGAUAAGCCUUGGAAACGAGGUCUAAUACCGGAUACGAGACGCUCGUGCAUGCGAUGUGUCUGGAAAGAUUUAUCGGUCAGGGAUGGACUCGCGGCCUAUCAGCUUGUUGGUGGGGUAACGGCCUACCAAGGCGACGACGGGUAGCCGGCCUGAGAGGGCGACCGGCCACACUGGGACUGGGACACGGCCCAGACUUCUACGGGAGGCAGCAGUGGGGAAUAUUGCACAAUGGGCGCAAGCCUGAUGCAGCGACGCCACGUGAGGGAUGAAGGCCUUCGGGUUGUAAACCUCUUUCAGCAGGGAAGAAGCGCAAGUGACGGUACCUGCAGAAGAAGCACCGGCUAACUACGUGCCAGCAGCCGCCGUAA
RNAcentral lists this ribosomal RNA (483 nucleotides) under uncultured bacterium. RNAcentral's name for it is "partial 16S ribosomal RNA". It matches the Rfam family "Bacterial small subunit ribosomal RNA", at positions 28 to 523 of the family's 1533-position model. The record is from RNAcentral.